GUCGACUACUCACUAAUAUUCAGAAGUAAUAAUGUUUCCGGAUGGUGUUUUAAGGGUUGGAUGGCUGGGAAAUUUUGGGUAAUGAUAAGUGGGGAGGUAUGGGUCAACAGAAUAGGGGUUUAAGGUUUCUCAACAUCAACGAUUAUUGAUGAUGGAGUAACUAACCUCAACAUCACGAUGGAGGACAUUAUUGAUGGAGUAACUAACCUCAACAUCAACGAUUCACACAAUAAGGAUCGGAUUGAAGUCUCUAAUAUUAAAAAAAAAAGACCCUCUUCUCUAUGUGAACUUUGCCAAGAGGUACAUGAGGCAACAACACAAUGAGGUGGAGCUUUCUGCUCAUGGAAUGGAUUGUUAGUUUCUUUUGGAUACAUAUGGAAACAUGAUGAAGUAUAUUUGAUAUACAUGAAUACCAGAUUUAUGCAUGGGGAGACAGGCUACCUCUGCAUUCACAGCUUGGAUCAGAUUAGACUUUCACAGAAUGUCCAUAUGCGUCCUAUCCCUUUGCGGUGGAUUAAUGCCGUGCACACUUGCAAUACGAUGGCAUGGUUGAUCUAAAUUCAAUUGGAUACAACUGAGAGUGUGGAGAAACUCAAGGACGACGCAUGGACAUGUAUGAGCGAGAGGAUAUUCGUAUGGACCAGAACAAAUCGAAGUGGGGAGGAGAGGUGAAGUCGAAGCUUGGCAAGGACGGAAAUGAUAGCAUCAUGAAUCCGUGCUUUGUGGUACGUUUUGUUGUUCAAAUGAAAUACUGAAUAGAAAGAAUUCAAUUGAAUCAACUCAAGUAGGUCUCUGAUUUAGUAUGUAUACAUGUACAAUAGUCCAUAUAUGAUUGCAUUAGCAAGCCAAGUAGUUACUAUAUUUUAAUGGCUAUGGAGAGGUAUUUCUAAUACCAAGAGGAAGCCUUGGCUUGGAUUUAUAAUUCAUAGAGGAAAUGAUUCUAGGUUAGAUUCAUAUGAUGUACUCAUUCGAUAAAAAUGCAUAACUAAGUACGUUCUAGCGUAAUUAUAAGCCACUCUCUUGGGCAUGGAAUGUUCUUUUGCUCAUUAUCAGGAAAGUGAGACAAAAAACACAUUAUGUUAAGAAAUGAUUUCCAUGUGGAUCACUUGAUAGACAAUAUAGGACCUAUAUGGGCUGUCAUAUUAUGUAAAUUAUCUUCUCCUUGCCAAACAUUCGUUAAAAAUUGUCACCCUGCCUCUGUAACUUAUCGUUGUAGAUUAUAUGCUGGAAGUUUCUUCCCUUUUUCAUAGUUUCAGUAAUGAGUUUGUCCAUAAAAACAGGUUUCUGCUAAUCUAAUAGACAUAACUCAUUAGAUAUGAAUCUUUCACUAAAACUCCCACGUGUUGUUAAGACAUGCUCAUUCAUUUUGGCGAGACCUGGAGACCAACAGUAGGUACUUAUUUCUAGGUGAAGCAAUUCUGAUUUCUAUAGCCAGAACCGAAAAAUUAAAAAACAUAAAUAACACAACGACCAUUACAGAUAGUAGUUAUGACACAAUGAUGGUGGUAUUAGAAGCGAAAUUGGGUCUGAAAACAUUACAGAUGGUAGAUUCCCAGGGUGAAGAACUCUUUUUGAUCCCCCUUCUCUCUCUCGGGAAGUGCCUUUUUGCCACAACGUGCUAUUAGAAUUUCUCUUUUACUUAUCUUUGAAUGGAAUAAGAAUCUGCAAUGGGUGUGCCAACUAACCUUGAAGCACGUAGAAGGACCGGGUUCCUUACAAACUCUGGGUUCAUAAGGAUGCCACGUGUUCCAUGAGUUUGGAAAAUGCUAGCAUUAUUUGUGUUAUUGUUCAUAAAAUAUUAGCUUCACUCAUGUUUUUGUAGCCACAAUUUUUAAUUUAUUAGCUACUCGAUUUUUUUUGAUCCGCUAAUAUUAUGUUUUUCAUCUUUUAUGGUCUUCGCGAGGGUAAACACGACAAGUGUGAGUAUCAGUGAAAAGCAAAGUUUUUCAAAAGUUUCAGUUCUUCAUCUCCUGAUAUGGGAAUCGGUAAUAAUUGUAAAGCCCCACAUAUCGUCUCCCUAUGCUAUAGAUUUAUGUUCUAGCAGUUUCAUCAUUUCUUUUGCUCAUCAAUGGAACAGUUUGGCUUUAACAUUAUCUUUCUCUCUACUUCAUUUGCUUAAUUGUUGCGAUUGCGUACGGGUUUUCUUAAGGAUGGGUUUGUUUGGGGAUCUUUCCUUAAUGUGUCCCUGAGUUCAUGCAGAAAGCAGCCUUUGGAAACUUCUAAGGGUGGUCUUCUCAAGGGGCUAGGUAAGUGACAUAUUUUACUAACUAAUGUUAAAAACUAAGAAAACAUAUUUCUAGAAAUAUCUUGAGCUACAAUUUAUAUCUACUCCGAAGUGUUCACAAGGAAUCAUGUUGAUUUAUCUAUUGCUGAUGAGAGUACAAGCAUCACUAUCUAACGUUCCUCGAGUUACACAAGGUUGUUAUAGAUUAUGGCAAUAUAAGGAAUCAUUAUUUUCCUGUGGUAUGUACUUUAACUACUACAGCUGUUCAUUUAAGAAACAAAUUCGCUGCUAAUGCCUCAUUGUUCUGAAAGGUUGUUUCCUGUUGCUACAUUAGACUUUUGUUUAGGUCAAACAUUGGUAUUACCUGACUGAGCAUUAUCUAAUGAUGUCAUCCAAAUUGCUAUUUGUUCCUGCUUAUUUGAAAUAUUAUUACUAAAAGGGCUUCUCGAAGGAGGAGAGGCGAUCAUAUAUGACUUAAUAGAAAACCUUUUCGAUGUAAAAUAGGUUAAUUUUUUCGACAGUAAUUAAUCAAAAUCAGUGGAAAUCAUUCUGAGACAGUGAUAUUAUAAUUUCGGAAUUAACUAGCACUACUAUCUUACAUGUAAGCAUACUUCCAACGUCCAUCAUAUAUGGUGGUCACCAUGAAAAAUUAUCGGAGGAUGAUGAAGAUUUUCUUAUGUUUCUAAGCAUUAUGCAUAUUGAUUAUGUCUCUAAGCUAAUCAUUAUGCAUAUUUUAUCAGGACUUGAGGCAUAGGAAGAUCUGACCUUGGUAAUAUGCAGAUGAUGUCCUUGAUUGAAGUAGUAGUGUUCAGGGUUCAACUCCCUGUCUUAGCUCAACAGGUAGAGCGCAUGGAUUUUAGUCAUGAGGUUGUGGGUUCAACUCCCAUAGACAGUGACUGAAUCAAUGUUUUGUAUCUUGAUAUUACUUGGUUGUUGGUGUUUUUAAGACUGUGCUCAGGCUGCAUUGUACGCAUUGAAGAAGUUUACUAUGACCCUUGCUAUGUAUAAUGAAAUUUCAUUUUUAGGAUGGAGAGUGCUUAUUAGACUGGGUAUAGAAGCUUUAUCUGGUGGAGCAAAACAGAUUUGAGUUCAGGACAUCUAAUUGAUGUUGUUCGGGAUUAUCUAUCUAACAUAUUUUUUAUAUUAUAAAACAAUGGUCAUCUUGAUGAGGUUGUGUUGGGGAAACUUGCUUAAACGAUAGUUCCUGGUGCCGCAAUAGUUACCGAGUAUUUCUGUGUUAGAGAAGAGCCACCAUCAUUUACCUCUUGAUCAUACAAAUUGAGCUUCUUUUAUUGCAUGGGUCAUUUGUACUUGCUA
This is a long non-coding RNA of Papaver somniferum (opium poppy), 3541 nucleotides long. RefSeq lists it as uncharacterized. The transcript has 8 exons. NCBI's taxonomy places the organism in Eukaryota, Viridiplantae, Streptophyta, Magnoliopsida, Ranunculales, Papaveraceae. The record is from RefSeq and is a predicted model, not a curated record.